This 253-nucleotide ribosomal RNA is filed under the name uncultured bacterium. RNAcentral describes it as "partial 16S ribosomal RNA". It matches the Rfam family "Bacterial small subunit ribosomal RNA", at positions 524 to 776 of the family's 1533-position model. The record is from RNAcentral.
UACGUAGGGUGCAAGCGUUAAUCGGAAUUACUGGGCGUAAAGCGUGCGCAGGCGGUUGUGCAAGACCGAUGUGAAAUCCCCGGGCUUAACCUGGGAAUGGCAUUGGUGACUGCACGGCUAGAGUGUGUCAGAGGGGGGUAGAAUUCCACGUGUAGCAGUGAAAUGCGUAGAGAUCGGCAGGAACACCCAGGGGGAAACCAGCCGACUGGGCAUCUGCUGACGCUGAUGUGCGAGAGCGUGGGGAGCGAGCCGG